UGGUAGACUCAGCAGAGUAUGUGAAU
Molecule: non-coding RNA, 26 nt
Filed under: Homo sapiens (human)
Lineage: Eukaryota; Metazoa; Chordata; Mammalia; Primates; Hominidae
Source: RNAcentral